CCUACGGGAGGCAGCAGUAGGGAAUCUUCCACAAUGGGCGAAAGCCUGAUGGAGCAACGCCGCGUGGGUGAAGAAGGUCUUCGGAUCGUAAAACCCUGUUGUUAGAGAAGAAAGUGCGUGAGAGUAACUGUUCACGUUUCGACGGUAUCUAACCAGAAAGCCACGGCUAACUACGUGCCAGCAUCCGCGGUAAUACGUAGGUGGCAAGCGUUAUCCGGAUUUAUUGGGCGUAAAGGGAACGCAGGCGGUCUUUUAAGUCUGAUGUGAAAGCCUUCGGCUUAACCGGAGUAGUGCAUUGGAAACGGGGAGACUUGAGUGCAGAAGAGGAGAGUGGAACUCCAUGUGUAGCGGUGAAAUGCGUAGAUAUAUGGAAGAACACCAGUGGCGAAAGCGGCUCUCUGGGCUGUAACUGACGCUGAGGUUCGAAAGCGUGGGUAGCAAACAGGAUUAGAUACCCGAGUAGUC
RNAcentral lists this ribosomal RNA (465 nucleotides) under uncultured bacterium. RNAcentral describes it as "partial 16S ribosomal RNA". It matches the Rfam family "Bacterial small subunit ribosomal RNA", at positions 338 to 795 of the family's 1533-position model. The record is from RNAcentral.